RNAcentral lists this long non-coding RNA (1113 nucleotides) under Malus domestica (apple). RNAcentral's name for it is "long non-coding RNA (MDOM_LNC010602)". The record is from RNAcentral. Lineage: Eukaryota; Viridiplantae; Streptophyta; Magnoliopsida; Rosales; Rosaceae.
GUUUCAGUACAAUAUUCUCUCCCCUUGCUCCUUUUUCAUGGGUUUCCCUCCUUUUUCACUUUCUUCUUGUUCGUGGCUAGAAUUUCCGUUGGGGAUGUUUCCUAGCGGAUGAGCACACAGCUCCCCAAGAGGUUGGCGCCGGUCGAUGCUUUCUGUCGGGCUUCUGCUUCAUUGGCGGGCUUGUUGGGCAAAGCUUGUUGGGCAAGGCUGAAAGAGAAGGACAGAGUUAACUUUGAAAGGUGCCUUUAUGGGGCCUUAGGUAUAGGCCUUGAGGCUCACAAUCAAAAUUAACUUUUAAGUGCUCAAGCGUGCCACUGCCAUCUUUAGCAUGGCAGAUGUAAAACGGAUGUUGAGUUUUAGUUGUAUAUGUAUCCGAUAGGCUGUUUUAGUUAUGAAAUGUGCCUUUGUGAGGCCUUAGGUGUAGGCCUUGAGGCUUCAAAUCAAGAACUAACCUAGUACUCGAAUAUAUAAUGUUUGUUUCAUUGAUUGUAGAAGUAUUAUGACUAUUAUACUUCUGAUUACCCGAGCCCGAAGAGCAGAAAGAAUCCAAAUAGGUGCCUUUGUAGGGCCUUAGAUAUAGGCCUUGAGGCUUCCCAUCAUAAUUAAUUCUAUACUCAAACGUUCUAUGAUAAUCAUAAUAUAACAGACAUAAAACUAGGAACUAGGUCGAUUACUUGCGCCCCAAGUAACUUCGGACUUUUUGUUAUCAAAGACUGUCGUGGAUGGGUUAAGUCCACAUAAGGUUCUUUUUUAUGCCUUAAGACCAAGGACUUUUGAAUGAUCAAUCUUACAUGCCCGAGAGCUUAGAACUUAGAUCUGACUUAAACGGUGAAGACACAUUCCAAUCGGAUUUAAGAACUGAGAAGUCUUUUAAUCAUCGACUUGCUAGAAAUAACUUGGAUACAACUGGAAGUAUACAACAUAUUGCUAGACUAAUGAAUGAAAAGACAAAAACAAAGAGGGUCGGGCAAGGCUGAUCGUCUUGCAACUUCCUAUCUUUGUGGUUUAUCAAGGGCUUUGGGAGCUUAAAAAGAGGGAUAUGGAGAUGAGUUUAUAAAAGGAAAUCGAUACUACAGCAAGUUUUAGACAAGGUAGCAGAGCUAUUACAAAGGG